RNAcentral lists this transfer-messenger RNA (123 nucleotides) under Gammaproteobacteria bacterium. Its description in RNAcentral is "partial transfer-messenger RNA". It matches the Rfam family "transfer-messenger RNA", at positions 248 to 374 of the family's 374-position model. From Rfam's summary of the family: Bacterial tmRNA, also known as 10Sa RNA or SsrA, is named for its dual tRNA and mRNA-like properties. Its role is to liberate the mRNA from a stalled ribosome. The record is from RNAcentral. Lineage: Bacteria; Pseudomonadati; Pseudomonadota; Gammaproteobacteria.
AGCUGGCCCCUGGUUUUCCCCGCCCGCCGGGUAGCCAGGGGCGAGAUCAAUAGGCUGGAUACGCACGUAGAUCCUGUAGCGUAGGGCUUGCGGACGCGGGUUCGAUUCCCGCCGCCUCCACCA